GUCGAACGGUAGAGGGGGCAACCCCUUGAGAGUGGCGAACGGGUGAGUAAUAUAUCGGAACGUGCCCAGUCGUGGGGGAUAACGUAGCGAAAGUUACGCUAAUACCGCAUACGAUCUACGGAUGAAAGCGGGGGACCUGUAAGGGCCUCGCGCGAUUGGAGCGGCCGAUAUCAGAUUAGGUAGUUGGUGGGGUAAAGGCUCACCAAGCCAACGAUCUGUAGCUGGUCUGAGAGGACGACCAGCCACACUGGAACUGAGACACGGUCCAGACUCCUACGGGAGGCAGCAGUGGGGAAUUUUGGACAAUGGACGCAAGUCUGAUCCAGCCAUUCCGCGUGCAGGAUGAAGGCCCUCGGGUUGUAAACUGCUUUUGUACGGAACGAAAAGGUCUCUCUUAAUACGGGGGGCUCAUGACGGUACCGUAAGAAUAAGCACCGGCUAACUACGUGCCAGCAGCCGCGGUAAUACGUAGGGUGCAAGCGUUAAUCGGAAUUACUGGGCGUAAAGCGUGCGCAGGCGGUUAUAUAAGACAGAUGUGAAAUCCCCGGGCUCAACCUGGGAACUGCAUUUGUGACUGUAUAGCUAGAGUACGGUAGAGGGGGAUGGAAUUCCGCGUGUAGCAGUGAAAUGCGUAGAUAUGUGGAGGAACACCGAUGGCGAAGGCAAUCCCCUGGACCUGUACUGACGCUCAUGCACGAAAGCGUGGGGAGCAAACAGGAUUAGAUACCCUGGUAGUCCACGCCCUAAACG
This 750-nucleotide ribosomal RNA is filed under the name uncultured bacterium. RNAcentral's name for it is "bacterial SSU rRNA". It matches the Rfam family "Bacterial small subunit ribosomal RNA", at positions 61 to 808 of the family's 1533-position model. The record is from RNAcentral.